UCCUGGCUCAGAACGAACGCUGGCGGCGUGCUUAACACAUGCAAGUCGGAUGCGAACGGGCUUUUCGGAGCGCAAGUAGCAUGGCAGACGGGUGAGGAGCACGUACCUGACCUGGCUCUUAAUGGGGGAUAGUCCUUCGAAAGAGGGUUGAAUACCGCAUACGCUCAGGAGGGCGACCUUCUGAGGAAAGCUGGCCUCUGCCGAUGCAGGCUGGUGUUGAGAGGGGGGGGUGCGGCCUAUUAGCUAGUUGGUAGGGUAAGAGCCUACCAAGGCGACGAUGGGUAGCUGGUCUGAGAGGAUGAUCAGCCACACUGGGACUGAGAGACGGCCCAGACUCCUACGGGAGGCAGCAGUGGGGAAUUUUGCGCAAUGGGGGCAACCCUGACGCAGCAACGCCGUGUGAGUGAGGACGCCUUUCGGGGUGUAAAGCUCUGUCAGCAGGGACGAACGUGUCGCGUAGAAGAUGCGCGGGCAUUGACGGUACCUGGUGAGGAAGCCCCGGCUAACUCCGUGCCAGCAGCCGCGGUAAGACGGAGGGGGCAAGCGUUGUUCGGAAUUACUGGGCGUAAAGCGCGCGUAGGCGGCGAGACAAGUGCCGAGUGAAAGCCCUCGGCUUAACCGAGGAAGGGCUUGGCAGACUGUGUGGCUAGAGUUUCGGAGGGGGAGGCGGAAUUCCUGGUGGAGCGGUGAAAUGCGUAGAGAUCAGGAAGAACGUCAGUGGCGAAGGCGGCCUCCUGGACGAGAACUGACGCUGAGGUGCGAGAGCGUGGGGAGCGAACGGGAUUAGAUACCCCGGUAGUCCAACGCCGUAAACGCUGGGCACUAGGUGUGGGGCCGAGGACCGGGUCCGUGCCGGAGCUAACGGCAGUAAGUGCCCCGCCUGGGGAGUACGGUCCCAAGGCUGAAACUCAAAGGAAUUGACGGGGGCCCGCACAACCGGUGGAGCAU
This 948-nucleotide ribosomal RNA is filed under the name uncultured organism. RNAcentral's name for it is "bacterial SSU rRNA". It matches the Rfam family "Bacterial small subunit ribosomal RNA", at positions 17 to 940 of the family's 1533-position model. The record is from RNAcentral.